This 392-nucleotide ribosomal RNA is filed under the name uncultured bacterium. RNAcentral's name for it is "partial 16S ribosomal RNA". It matches the Rfam family "Bacterial small subunit ribosomal RNA", at positions 523 to 918 of the family's 1533-position model. The record is from RNAcentral.
AUACGGAGGAUCCGAGCGUUAUCCGGAUUUAUUGGGUUUAAAGGGUGCGCAGGCGGCCAUUUAAGUCAGCGGUUAAAUCGUGGGGCUCAACCCCAUUCUGCCGUUGAUACUGGGUGGCUUGAUUGCGGUCGAGGUUGGCGGAAUUCGUUGUGUAGCGGUGAAAUGCAUAGAUAUGACGAAGAACACCGAUUGCGUAGGCAGCUGACCAGACCGCAAAUGACGCUCAUGCACGAAAGUGCGGGGAUCGAACAGGAUUAGAUACCCUGGUAGUCCGCACAGUAAACGAUGAAUACUUGUUUUCGGCGAUAUAAUGUCGGAGGCAAAGCGAAAGCGAUAAGUAUGCCACCUGGGGAGUACGCCGGCAACGGUGAAACUCAAAUUAAUUGACGGGG